Molecule: long non-coding RNA, 1763 nt
Filed under: Homo sapiens (human)
Lineage: Eukaryota; Metazoa; Chordata; Mammalia; Primates; Hominidae
Description: HSALNT0384462
Source: RNAcentral
ACUUAACCUCUCUGAGUCUCUGUAAAAUGGAGGGAAAAAAUGCUUCUCUGGAAGAGUGGUUAAAUACUUGAAAGAGGCAAUGUAACUGUCUUAUGCCUAGAGCAUAGUAGGUGCUUAACAAACAGUAGCUUAUUUCUGGCAUUAUAAUUAGAUGAGGGGAAGGUCCCUCCUAGCACAGACCCUGGAAGAUUCUAUGACUCAGGGAGUGGGCAGAUUGCAUCCAUGGUCCCUGCCCUCAUUUGUAGCUACCUGAAGGGCCUGUCUCAGCAAUAAAAACAGCCAAGUGAGCACAGGCAGAGAAACAUCAUUUCCUCCUCCUCUUGAGGGCAGGAGUCCAGGCGCAGCCCCAGCAGCAGGUUGGAAUAAAUGCAGAUGCUGCAAAUUGAUGGAGGCCUGGUGUCUUCCAGAGUGGAGGUAAAGGCUGGCUGAGGAAUCAGUGAGGCCAGGAAGAGGGCUCAGCUGAGCAACUGAUCAAAGCAUCCCUCUUCAGGAAGGAGCUUCCUGUGUUUUCUCUGGGAACUCACCUGUUUUCCACUCCAGACUCUCCAAGAUAUGCAGAGCUUUGGGCCAGGAUCCUACAGCCACGGGUCAUGCAGAGCCAGUUGGCCACAUCCUUUGGGCCAAAUUUGGUCCUAACCAGGUCUUACCACGGUAACUGCUAACCAGUCCAUCUUCAGUUAAUAUUUCAUGCGUAAGAUGUUUCAUGAAGUAACUGAAUGGGCUAAUGGGUUGUUCACUGGAUAAGACUCCCAGAUACUCCCUUUCAUGCCAUUCCCCAGAAUUCCUUCACCUCCCAGUGCUGUCUGUAAGGGUGAAGAUACUCCAUUUUGCCCCAUGCUCUUUGCUGUGCCCCAGAUAGGCUCAAACAUUUUUCCCUUUUGGGGAUUUUGCAGGUAGGAAUUGUUGAACAUCUUACCAUUUAAUCCAGAAGUUAUGUCCUUUAAGGAAUCGACCCUGAGCCUGUGAGUUUUACUUUGGGUUGGGGGUGAAGGAGUGGACCUUGCAGCAUUCAAGGUCAUCCAAGAUCAUCCAGUUAAGGCCCCUAAGGUCACUACGGGGGGAAAAGCCUGGUGAGGGAAGAGAAAGCAUUAGGGGGAGCUGCACCGUGCUGAGAAAUAACACCACACAGAAGUCUGUGUUCUAAUCUCAGCUCUGCUUUGCAUUACUGUGUGACCUGGAGCUGAUCACAGCCCUCUGAGUCUUAAAGGGGUUGGACAAGGCCAACUAAACAUUAGAAACACCUGAAAGUGCUGGUUAAAAGGAAGAAUGCAUGAGCUUCACUCCAGAUUUACUAUAUCAGAAUUUCCAGGGUCAGGGUCCAAGAAUCUGCAUGUUUAAUACGCUUUCCACAUGAUUUUUCCCCCCUCUGGACUUAAGAAAACAAUGGGCAAGUCAGCUCAUGAAGAACUUUUCAGAUAUUCAGACUAUUAUUCUGAGAGAGAAAAUAUUGGCAGAGAACAGAUGGGAUUUUUCUCAAGGAAAAGAAAUGGAAAUCCUACAUCUUGCAAGAAAUAGAAAAAAAUAAAUAAACUGUUUGAAGAAGAAUCACAUCAGGCUGGCAGGAGAGAGCCUGCGGCUCGGUGUCUGACCCAGAAUGUUAAAGCCAGCCUGGCUUGGCUCCAGGAUAAAGGACACUCUGUCAGCCUCUCCACAUUGAUUCAUCUCCCCAGCCCCAAGAUCAGGAGAGCAUUCUGUUCCUUGAAGCAUUUUAUGACUGUAAGUCAGAAGUGCUGCAGUUUUAAUAAAAAGCUGUAUUGUCCUGA